Long non-coding RNA from Tetranychus urticae (two-spotted spider mite), 2055 nucleotides. RefSeq lists it as uncharacterized. The record is from RefSeq and is a predicted model, not a curated record. NCBI's taxonomy places the organism in Eukaryota, Metazoa, Arthropoda, Arachnida, Trombidiformes, Tetranychidae.
CUAUUUUUAAUCUUUUGUCUGGAUAACUAUUAUUGAUUAAUGUGUUAAAAGUACGGAUAACUAUAAUUGUUACAGUUAAUAAUCGAAUUACUACUUUUACUUUUUGUCGUUUAUGUAAUUUAUAUUGCAUUUUUAAAUUAAAAACUGUUGCUAUCUUGUUAAUACUUUUGUGACUUUACUUUUCACAUGGUAAGGUUUAAAAAUUUAUUAAUCUAAUGCAUUUUAUUUCAUGAUGAGAUUAUGAUAAAAGUUUUAAGAACUGUAAGAUUAUCUCAACCAUGGAAUUUAAGAAUCUGUUUGAACUGAAUCAAAGGUGAACUUGUGUAUUAUACAAGUUUCGAUGGGUAUGGAGGUUAUUACUCUGUCUGGGAUUACUAUUACUCUGUGCUUUCUUUCAAUACGUUUUCAAAGUUCAAAUGGUGACGGAAAAAAGAGGUGAAUACAAGGGGAAAGAAGAGCAUGCAAAGUUUCCAAUGUAACUCUAAAUGAAUCAGCCGAAAGACAAGUUUUCUGGAAAAUGAUGUGAACCAUUGACAAAGGGAACAACAAUCUGUUUAUUAACAUGAACCCGAAACUCUGAGAGAUUUUGUAUUAUAACAAGUUUCUUUGGAUGGAACAAAGAAAGAGGAGAAUUUUUUUCUCCAAGAAAUAUCUCGCAACGUUUAUCCUGACGAGACCUGAAAGGUUAAAGAGGACACUCCUGGUAUCUAUCCACACACUAACUAUCAUGUGUACAUCAGUAAUAUAAUUUGGAGAGUCUGACAACCUUAAGGACAAUUUAUCUUGAAGAACGAUAAUAUUUUUGCGUUUUUUCUCAUUGAAAAUCCUAAGAAAUGAAUCUUACUUUUUCAACACAUCAUCUUCAUUAUUAUUAUUUGAAAGGUGCUAGCUUUAUUCUGACUGCUCCACAUGUAUGGUUAAUACAUGCAUUCUUCAUGUAACUUGAGGCUAAACAGAAAAAUAUGCAACUUGAAAUGGGCCAAAGAAAAGAAUGGUAUUGUCAUUGGUAUUUUCAACCAUCUCUUCUACCAUCCUAGGUUACCAUUGAACUAACGAUAAUAUUAAUGAGAGUAAUAAUGCAAUGUCACCGAACUUGUCUGAAGGAUUUCCGUUUCACUGAAAAAGAAAGGUAAAAAGCAUGUUACAAGAAGUGAACAAAGUGAAUCUCAAGUGCAAAACUUUUUUUUGCACAGGUUAAUUGAAUCACUUCCAUGGAGGAAUAACCACUCUCGCUGUCACUCAAAUCUCUUUCUCUCUCUUUCCUCUUCUUUCUUUAAAGCUCUCUCUCUCCCUUUCUGUGUGUGUAGAGUCAUGAUGAUAAGGAAAAGGCCAUUGAACUAUCUGAAAAACCAGUGGCACUUGUUAUACACCUUAAAAUGUUUAAAGCUCACUUUUUGUUUAUCUGUUUGCAUAUGAAAUUUUAGAUGAAAACAGGGAAGGCGGAAGAUAGAGCAAGACUUGAAUUUUUUAGUUCACUUGGCAUCGAGACUUGAUCCUAGGUCAUAUUGGCUUUAAUACAGUAAUGCUAUUUUAAUAAUAGCAACGCUAUUAAUAAUGGUCAUGGCUUGCGGUUAUUUGUCUUAAGGGAACCAGAAAAGUCUCAAGAACCCAAAAGAGAAAGAAGCUUAAGAGAAAAGGCUUUCUUUCUAAAAAUGAUGAGAUGUUGAAGACCACCUUUGUUGUUGUGGACAAGCCCGAAUCUCCGAAUCAAUGAGGAUGAUUGAUCGUCAUCAUUGCCGUCAUUUUACGUUGUUUUCUUAUUCAAGCCCACUAUUUAUCAUUUUGAACCAAAGUGAAGACGAAAAAAAAUAUGAUAAGAUUUUUUCAUUUCUUUCUCUCUCUCUUUCACUCUCUUGAAACGGCUCCAUCGUCAUUGGCCGUUAACAAUAAACAAUAGGAUCUCAAUGUGACCUGGUUGUACAAUUGUUAAGGUAAAAAUGCAUUUCAUUUUAGCUUUUUGUUUGUAGUUGAGCCAGUAAACAAGUAACAAUUGAAGAUGAAUCACCUUCCAAUGAGUAUAAAUUAAAUAGGAUAUUGAAUAGCAAACAAUUAAAU